Molecule: ribosomal RNA, 423 nt
Filed under: uncultured archaeon
Lineage: Archaea
Description: bacterial SSU rRNA
Rfam family: Archaeal small subunit ribosomal RNA
Source: RNAcentral
CCUACGGGGGGCAGCAGGGACGAAUCUUCUGCAAUGUACGAAAGUAUGACAGAUUGAGUCAGAGUGCUUUUCAUAUGAAAAGCUUUUGCCAAAUGUAAAAAGUUUGGCGAAUAAGGACUGGGUAAGACGGGUGCCAGCCGCCGCGGUAAUACCCGCGGUCCAAGUCGCAGCCAUCAUUAUUGGGUCUAAAACAUCCGUAGCUUGCUUAGUAAGUUUCUUGUGAAAUUCCAUGUCUUAAAUAUGGAGCGGGCAAGAAGUACUGUUAAGCUAGAGACUGGAAGACGUAAGAAGUACGUUUGGAGUAGCGGUAAAAUGUGUUAAUCCCAGACGGACUAACAACAGCGAAGGCAUCUUACGAGGACAGUUCUGACAGUAAGGGAUGAAGGCUAGGGGCGCAAAAGGGAUUAGAUACCCUAGUAGUCC